Molecule: ribosomal RNA, 384 nt
Filed under: Apteropilo volans
Lineage: Eukaryota; Metazoa; Arthropoda; Insecta; Coleoptera; Cleridae
Description: partial 12S ribosomal RNA
Source: RNAcentral
UAAAAUUAAAAAAUUUGGCGGUAUUUUAGUCUUUUCAUAGGAACCUGUUCUAUAAUUGAUAGCCCACGAUUAAAUAUACUUAUUUUAUUAAUUUAUAUAUCGUCGUAGUUUGAAUAUUUUAACAGAAUUUAUAAUAUUCAAAAUUUAAAAUUAUAAAAUAAAUCAGAUCAAGGUGUAGUUUAUAAAUAAGAAGAAAUGGGUUACAAUUAAUUUAUUAUUUGGAUAAAGUUUUAUAAAAAUUUUUGAAAUUGGAUUUGAAAGUAAUUAAAUUUAUAUAAUUUUAAUGAUUUAAGCUCUAAAAUAUGUACAUAUUGCCCGUCGCUUUUGUUUUAAAAUGAAAUAAGUCGUAACAAAGUAGAUUUACUGGAAAGUGAAUCUGGAAUA